This 638-nucleotide long non-coding RNA is filed under the name Aquilegia coerulea. RNAcentral's name for it is "long non-coding RNA (ACOE_LNC000689)". Lineage: Eukaryota; Viridiplantae; Streptophyta; Magnoliopsida; Ranunculales; Ranunculaceae. The record is from RNAcentral.
GGAGUCAUGGUCUCAUUUCCUCUACAGAAAAAAGUAUUUCUUAGUUCAGAGACAUUUGAAACGACUUGAGUGUAAUUUGCCUUUGGUUCUCUUGUUCCACCUGAGCAAGUUUCUCGUUUGCAAGCUCGGUUAGCACAAGUACACAACAAGUAGAUUUCUUGGUGUCUCCAGUUGUGGGCUCGUGGCAAGAUCCUACAAAAUUCGCACCAAACAAUUAAUUUAAUCUAUAAACUGUUACUUUUGUUGGUUGUAUAAUGUGUUUCAACCAUUUCAUCUAAUGUAGAGGAGAAAGAAAGAAACUAUAUUUGAGAGGGUAGAGUGGAUAAGAUCCUAGUUACUACCAAAUAAAGUUUGACAAGCAUUUACCUAACGCCCAUGUCAUUAUUAUAUGAAAAUACAAAUGAAUUUGCCUCGUCCAAAGAUACAAGUAACAAGGACUAGUAGCGAUAUAAUCAUACUUGGCAAGGGUAUAUAAAAAUUGUUAGGAUAAAUAAUACUUAAUUAACAAUUAAUAAAAAUUUACAAAUUGCAACUAAUACACAUGCUGACUUGAGAUAUUACAUUCUAAAAGCAAUAGCCAAAAGAAGGCAAGAAGCUUAUCAUAUCUUACCUAUUUUGAAGUAACAUCAGAUGGUAUA